This 253-nucleotide ribosomal RNA is filed under the name uncultured bacterium. RNAcentral's name for it is "partial 16S ribosomal RNA". It matches the Rfam family "Bacterial small subunit ribosomal RNA", at positions 524 to 776 of the family's 1533-position model. The record is from RNAcentral.
UACGGAGGGGGCUAGCGUUGUUCGGAAUUACUGGGCGUAAAGCGUGCGUAGACGGUUAUUUAAGUCGGGUGUGAAAGCCCCGGGCUCAACCUGGGAAUUGCAUUCGAGACUGAAUAGCUAGGGUACGGUAGAGGGAAGUGGAAUUUCCGGUGUAGCGGUGAAAUGCGUAGAUAUCGGAAGGAACAUCAGUGGCGAAAGCGACUUCCUGGACAACACCUGACACUGAGGCACGAAAGCUAGGGGAGCAAACAGG